UACAGAGGGUGCGAGCGUUGUCCGGAAUCACUGGGCGUAAAGGGCGCGUAGGUGGCGACCCAAGUCGAUGGUGAAAGCUCGCCGCUCAACGGCGAGUCGGCCACCGAUACUGGGUUGCUGGAGCACUGUAGAGGCUCAUGGAAUUCCGGGUGUAGCGGUGGAAUGCGUAGAGAUCCGGAAGAACACCGGUGGCGAAGGCGGUGAGCUGGGCAGUUGCUGACACUGAGGCGCGAAAGCGUGGGGAGCAAACAGG
Molecule: ribosomal RNA, 253 nt
Filed under: uncultured bacterium
Lineage: Bacteria
Description: partial 16S ribosomal RNA
Rfam family: Bacterial small subunit ribosomal RNA
Source: RNAcentral